Molecule: ribosomal RNA, 468 nt
Filed under: uncultured bacterium
Lineage: Bacteria
Description: partial 16S ribosomal RNA
Rfam family: Bacterial small subunit ribosomal RNA
Source: RNAcentral
GACGAACGCUGGCGGCGUGCUUAACACAUGCAAGUCGAACGGAAAGGCCCUGCUUUUGUGGGGUGCUCGAGUGGCGAACGGGUGAGUAACACGUGAGUAACCUGCCCUUGACUUUGGGAUAACUUCAGGAAACUGGGGCUAAUACCGGAUAGGAGCUCCCGCUGCAUGGUGGGGGUGGGAAAGUUUCGGCGGUUGGGGAUGGACUCGCGGCUUAUCAGCUUGUUGGUGGGGUAGUGGCUUACCAAGGCUGUGACGGGUAGCCGGCCUGAGAGGGUGACCGGCCACAUUACGCCUGCGAUACGGCCCAGUCUCGAACGGGAGGCAGCGGUGGGGGAUAUUGCACAAUGGGCGGGCGCCUGUUGCGACAACGCCGCGUGCGGGAAGCCGGCCUGCGGGUAGUAAACCGCUUCCGCUUGAGACGAAGCGUGAGUGACGGUACUGGGUAAAGAAGCACCGGCUAACUACGUG